Molecule: long non-coding RNA, 330 nt
Filed under: Amphimedon queenslandica
Lineage: Eukaryota; Metazoa; Porifera; Demospongiae; Haplosclerida; Niphatidae
Description: uncharacterized LOC109585129
Source: RNAcentral
GUCUCUAAUUAGAAGAAUGGAAAUUUUAGAAGAACAGAGUAUCAUGGUGCCAUUCCAAUUGGGUUGCUUAACAUACCAUUUCUUUGGAAAUACUAGCCCGGCAUGAACACAAGGGCAGGUACUCUGCUACAUACAUGAACAGUAAUGGAAGUACUUCUAGUGCCCCAUCUGCUUGCAAUCUACCUCAGCAUACUGAUCCAGUAACUCCAACUAAUGAGCCAGUAAAGGCAAUCAUCACCAAUACUACUGUGCACACUGGUAAUAGAAGGAAAAUAGAUUUUAAUGCUCCUUUGUUGAAUCCUGAUACUGUGAUUAAUAAAUAUCCCAAAC